UACGUAGGGACCAAGCGUUGUUCGGAUUUACUGGGCGUAAAGGGCGCGUAGGCGGCAUGACAAGUCACUUGUGAAAUCUCCGGGCUUAACUCGGGAACUGCGCUUGAUACUGUCGAGCUAGAGUGUGGAAGGGGCGAUUGGAAUUCCGUGUGUAGCGGUGAAAUGCGUAGAUAUACGGAGGAACACCAGAGGCGAAGGCGGAUCGCUGGGCCAACACUGACGCUGAUGUGCGAAAGCUAGGGGAGCAAACGGG
RNAcentral lists this ribosomal RNA (253 nucleotides) under uncultured bacterium. Its description in RNAcentral is "partial 16S ribosomal RNA". It matches the Rfam family "Bacterial small subunit ribosomal RNA", at positions 524 to 776 of the family's 1533-position model. The record is from RNAcentral.